AAAUCGGUUUAAAGAUUUAUUUUACGGAUCAUGAGCCUUCUCCGCCACCAGCACCACCCCCUCCCCCUCCACCACAGCAGGAAACUAAGUCUGAUCCACCACCACCAAUUGCAGAGGGAGCACCAGAAGCUGCAAAUUCUGAUCCGCCACAACCGGAUGGUGGCAAUCCAAGUGAAGCUGCGCCUCCACCGCCGCCUGCUGACGCCGUACCGCCACCUCCACCGCUGUCUGCUGACGCCGUAGCUUCACCUCCAGCUGAAAACGGGCCGUCAGCUGCUAAUGCUGGGGCACCAACAACACCGCCACUUGCUGAAGCUGCACCAUCGCCGCCGGCGAAUGUCACUCCUGAAGCUGAGCCCCUAGUCCAAGGAGCUAACAAUCCAGUGGAAGCUGCUUCAACACAAGAGGCACAAUUGGAUCCUCAUCAAAUGAAGGCAUCUAUAGAAUCAGGAUCAAUACCAGAAGUCAAAGUCGGUAGUACAUACGGUCCACGACCAAUCUCACGCGCUGCAUCAGUCAGUAGCUUCAUAUCAGACGCAUCAGACAACAUUUCAAUCGAACGUCCCUCAUUCGACCUUGUGGAGAAAAUGCACUACCUCUUCAUUCGAGUUGUCAAAGCUCGAUCUCUCCCUACUCCCGGCAAUCCGGUGGUCAAGAUUAUUGUAUCAGGUUCCCAAGUCACAUCCAAACCCGCUCGUAUAACCAUGUUCUUCGAGUGGGAUCAAACUUUUGCAUUCAGCCGCGACGCACCAGAUUCCUCUUCCAUCCUAGAAGUGUCAGUGUGGGACUCGCUAAUUUCCAGCUCGACGUCUGACGUGGCAGGUCAUAGCUUCUUAGGUGGCAUAUGCUUCGAUGUGACUGAGAUCCCACUGCGGGACCCACCGGAUAGCCCGCUGGCUCCGCAAUGGUACAGACUUGAAGGAGGUGGCGCCCAUAAAGGCGAUCUCAUGCUUGCCACGUGGGUUGGGACACAAGCUGACGAGUCAUUCCCAGAAGCAUGGAAGACCGACACAGCCGGUAAUCCCAGUUCACGAUCUAAAGUCUACCAAUCACCUAAAUUGUGGUAUUUGAGAUCAACCGUGAUUGAGGCCCAAGACAUAUCCGGGUUAGCGCCGUCAAGAGAUUCAUCCUUCCAAGUUAAAGCUCAGUUGGGAUUUCAAGUACAAAAGACUAAGCUAUCUCCCACACGUAACGGAUCUCCGUCAUGGAAUGAAGACUUGAUGUUUGUAGCUGCUGAGCCAUUUAGUGACAGCCAACUAGUAUUCUUUCUAGUGGAAUACCGGGAACCUAAAGAACAGGUUAUCCUAGGGGUUGCUAGCAUACCACUCACGUCCAUAGAGCGCCGUGUUGACGACCGGAAUGUGGUAUCAAGAUGGUUCACCUUUGAAGAUCCAAAUCAAGACAAGAGAGUAUAUAAAGGUAGGGUCCACCUAAGGGUAUGUUUCGACGGUGGAUAUCACGUGAUGGAUGAAGCUGCUCACGUGUGUAGCGAUUAUCGUCCGACCGCGAAGCAGCUUUGGAAACCCCCUGUUGGGACAGUUGAGCUGGGGAUCAUUGGAUGCAAGAAUUUAUUACCUAUGAAGACCAUCAACAACAAGGGUUCUACUGACGCAUAUGCAGUGGCGAAGUAUGGUAACAAAUGGGUACGCACUCGCACGGUGUGUGAUACCCUGGACCCGAAAUGGAAUGAGCAGUACACGUGGAGGGUUUACGAUCCGUCCACAGUGUUGACGAUUGGUGUUUUUGACGGUUGGGAAGUAUUCGAAUCAGACGGCCAGAGAGUGUCCACGCGCCCUGAUUUUCGGAUUGGAAAGGUACGCAUACGAAUCUCCACCCUAGAGACUGGUAAGGUGUACAAAAAUAUGUUUCCAUUGCUUUCGUUAUCUCCUGCUGGAUUAAAGAAAAUGGGUGAAAUAGAGGUGGCCGUACGAUUCGCACGUGCGACUCCCACGCUAGAUAUUUUGCACUUGUACUCGAUGCCUCUAUUGCCCAUAAUGCACCACAUCAAGCCUAUUGGUGUGAUGCAACAAGAGAUGUUGAGAUCCACGGCUGUUAAGAUCGUGUGCGCACACUUGUCACGAUCUGAGCCACCCCUUCCACGCGAGGUCAUAACGUAUAUGCUGGAUGCCGAUUCGCACGCGUUCAGCAUGCGUAAAGUGCGUGCCAAUUGGUUCCGAAUCAUCAACGUGAUUGCGGGGGUGAUUGAUAUCAUAAAAUGGAUGGAGGAGACGCGUUGUUGGAGGAAUCCGACUGCUACGGUGUUGGUACAUGCAUUGUUGGUGAUGCUGGUGUGGUUCCCUGAUUUAAUUAUCCCCACCUUGGCAUUUUACAUGUUUGUAGUUGGGGUGUGGAAUUAUAGGUUAAGGUCACGGGAGCCACUGCCGCACUUUGAUCCCAAGAUCUCAUUGGCGGAUACGAUUGAUCGGGAUGAGCUGGAUGAAGAGUUUGAUGNNNNNNNNNNNNNNNNNNNNNNNNNNNNNNNNNNNNNNNNNNNNNNNNNNNNNNNNNNNNNNNNNNNNNNNNNNNNNNNNNNNNNNNNNNNNNNNNNNNNAGUUUGAUAUUUUUUUAUUAUUAUAAUGUUGAGAUAUUGGACUACAUUAAAUAUAUUAUUCAUUUGUUCCAUCUUUAAUGUAAUAGUCAAUAUUUUAGUUUUUUAAAUUGAUUAAAAAAUCAUAAUUAAUAGUCAUUAUUGAGAAGAAGUUUCACUAGCCUUAUUUGUGGAAUAGAACCAUAUAUGUGUGUAUAUAUAUAUAUAUACUUUUUAAUCUCUCUCUCCGGCCCUUGGUCCAUACAAAAGUAUGGUCAGUUUGAAAAAGUAGAAGAGAAUCUUCAUCAACUAAAGGAAGGGAUUAAUAUUAUCAAUAUGGUAAUGAUUUAAAAUCAUAUAUAGGGGGAAUCAAAUGUUAACAAUUAAUAUGGUACCUAUUUUUGUUCAAAUUCUAUCACUUAUGUUAGUAACUAUUUUUGGUUUUUGAAUUAUGAUUCAUCUUAUAUUUAUUUACAUAUUUUGCGCCUAUAAGUUUUACAAUGUAUAGUAUGAAUAUAAGUUUGAAUAUCACUGCGCGCAAUUUAAUUUAUACUUAUAAUGCGCGUCUCUUUCUUCUUAGCAAUACAAAGACAAGCACGUAUAUAUACAUACAUAUAAUAUAUACUGUAAAAGCAGUGCGAAAGAAAACGAAAAAAGUGAAAAAGUAGAAUCUAAAUGCUGGAAAAGGAAAAUAUUAUCUUAAGAAGCAAUAAGUAAAGCAAUAUUAUUAAUUAAUAUAUAAGAAAAAGAAGGAUUUGAAUAAUUUGUAUUACUGGCCUAAGGCUAAGGCUGCUUGCUUGCACAUGAAGUUAAGUACCUUUCUUAUCUCCUGCCCUUUAUUUUCCACCUAAGAACUCCAUUAUACUCUUUCUAUGUUAUAUAAAACUACCCUUAAUUUCCCCUAACCCAAAAACCCUCUUUCUUCAAUUUCAUCCCAUAAAUUUCCCAAACUCCCCCCACCGUACGUAUUACUAGCUGCUACACAAAAUGUGACUAAACUUGAUCUCCUCUAAAACUUUUAAGAAUUAGAUAGCUAGCUAGCUGGGGAGUCGCUAAAUCAAUAUUAAUUAAUUGUUUCGCCCAGUUCUGUCCAAUCGAUCCAUCGUGUCAUGGCGGUAGGUAGUAUUCGAAAGUUAGUGGUGGAGGUGGUGGAUGCCCGUAAUCUUUUGCCGAAAGAUGGGCAUGGAACGUCGAGUCCUUACGUGAUUCUUGAUUUCUAUGGUCAAAGAAGAAAGACAAGAAGCAUUAUCUGUGACCUAAAUCCGGUAUGGAAUGAGACCGUUUCUUUUAAUGUUGGGAAGCCAUCUAGUGUUUUCGGUGACAUGCUUGAGGUGGAUGUUUAUCACGAUAAAAACAUCGGUCCUACUACUAGAAAUAAUUUCCUCGGUAGAGUUCGCUUGAAUUCCCGCCAGUUUGUUAGGAGAGGCGAGGAGGCUUUGAUUUAUUAUACUCUGGAGAAAAAGAAUUUGUUUUCUUGGAUUCAAGGUGAAAUCGGUUUAAAGAUUUAUUUUACGGAUCAUGAGCCUNNNNNNNNNNNNNNNNNNNNNNNNNNNNNNNNNNNNNNNNNNNNNNNNNNNNNNNNNNNNNNNNNNNNNNNNNNNNNNNNNNNNNNNNNNNNNNNNNNNNGAAGCUGCUUCAACACAAGAGGCACAAUUGGAUCCUCAUCAAAUGAAGGCAUCUAUAGAAUCAGGAUCAAUACCAGAAGUCAAAGUCGGUAGUACAUACGGUCCACGACCAAUCUCACGCGCUGCAUCAGUCAGUAGCUUCAUAUCAGACGCAUCAGACAACAUUUCAAUCGAACGUCCCUCAUUCGACCUUGUGGAGAAAAUGCACUACCUCUUCAUUCGAGUUGUCAAAGCUCGAUCUCUCCCUACUCCCGGCAAUCCGGUGGUCAAGAUUAUUGUAUCAGGUUCCCAAGUCACAUCCAAACCCGCUCGUAUAACCAUGUUCUUCGAGUGGGAUCAAACUUUUGCAUUCAGCCGCGACGCACCAGAUUCCUCUUCCAUCCUAGAAGUGUCAGUGUGGGACUCGCUAAUUUCCAGCUCGACGUCCGACGUGGCAGGUCAUAGCUUCUUAGGUGGCAUAUGCUUCGAUGUGACUGAGAUCCCACUGCGGGACCCACCGGAUAGCCCGCUGGCUCCGCAAUGGUACAGACUUGAAGGAGGUGGCGCCCAUAAAGGCGAUCUCAUGCUUGCCACGUGGGUUGGGACACAAGCUGACGAGUCAUUCCCAGAAGCAUGGAAGACCGACACAGCCGGUAAUCCCAGUUCACGAUCUAAAGUCUACCAAUCACCUAAAUUGUGGUAUUUGAGAUCAACCGUGAUUGAGGCCCAAGACAUAUCCGGGUUAGCGCCGUCAAGAGAUUCAUCCUUCCAAGUUAAAGCUCAGUUGGGAUUUCAAGUACAAAAGACUAAGCUAUCUCCCACACGUAACGGAUCUCCGUCAUGGAAUGAAGACUUGAUGUUUGUAGCUGCUGAGCCAUUUAGUGACAGCCAACUAGUAUUCUUUCUAGUGGAAUACCGGGAACCUAAAGAACAGGUUAUCCUAGGGGUUGCUAGCAUACCACUCACGUCCAUAGAGCGCCGUGUUGACGACCGGAAUGUGGUAUCAAGAUGGUUCACCUUUGAAGAUCCAAAUCAAGACAAGAGAGUAUAUAAAGGUAGGGUCCACCUAAGGGUAUGUUUCGACGGUGGAUAUCACGUGAUGGAUGAAGCUGCUCACGUGUGUAGCGAUUAUCGUCCGACCGCGAAGCAGCUUUGGAAACCCCCUGUUGGGACAGUUGAGCUGGGGAUCAUUGGAUGCAAGAAUUUAUUACCUAUGAAGACCAUCAACAACAAGGGUUCUACUGACGCAUAUGCAGUGGCGAAGUAUGGUAACAAAUGGGUACGCACUCGCACGGUGUGUGAUACCCUGGACCCGAAAUGGAAUGAGCAGUACACGUGGAGGGUUUACGAUCCGUCCACAGUGUUGACGAUUGGUGUUUUUGACGGUUGGGAAGUAUUCGAAUCAGACGGCCAGAGAGUGUCCACGCGCCCUGAUUUUCGGAUUGGAAAGGUACGCAUACGAAUCUCCACCCUAGAGACUGGUAAGGUGUACAAAAAUAUGUUUCCAUUGCUUUCGUUAUCUCCUGCUGGAUUAAAGAAAAUGGGUGAAAUAGAGGUGGCCGUACGAUUCGCACGUGCGACUCCCACGNNNNNNNNNNNNNNNNNNNNNNNNNNNNNNNNNNNNNNNNNNNNNNNNNNNNNNNNNNNNNNNNNNNNNNNNNNNNNNNNNNNNNNNNNNNNNNNNNNNNAAAGAAUUUGUUUUCUUGGAUUCAAGGUGAAAUCGGUUUAAAGAUUUAUUUUACGGAUCAUGAGCCUUCUCCGCCACCAGCACCACCCCCUCCCCCUCCACCACAGCAGGAAACUAAGUCUGAUCCACCACCACCAAUUGCAGAGGGAGCACCAGAAGCUGCAAAUUCUGAUCCGCCACAACCGGAUGGUGGCAAUCCAAGUGAAGCUGCGCCUCCACCGCCGCCUGCUGACGCCGUACCGCCACCUCCACCGCUGUCUGCUGACGCCGUAGCUUCACCUCCAGCUGAAAACGGGCCGUCAGCUGCUAAUGCUGGGGCACCAACAACACCGCCACUUGCUGAAGCUGCACCAUCGCCGCCGGCGAAUGUCACUCCUG
This 6196-nucleotide long non-coding RNA is filed under the name Panax ginseng (ginseng). RNAcentral's name for it is "long non-coding RNA (PGIN_LNC017968)". Lineage: Eukaryota; Viridiplantae; Streptophyta; Magnoliopsida; Apiales; Araliaceae. The record is from RNAcentral.